AGAGUUUGAUCAUGGCUCAGGAUGAACGCUGGCGGCGUGGAUAAGGCAUGCAAGUCAAGGGGGCUCGCAAGAGCAACCGGCAGACGAGGUAGUAAUAAGUAGGUACGUCCCUCAAAGUCAGGCAUAGCUCGUCGAAAGACGGGGUAAUUCCUGAUAGUCCCUCCGGGGUAAAGAUUUAUCGCUUUGAGAACGGCCUGCUCGGUAUCAGCUAGUUGGUAAGGUAACGGCUUACCAAGGCUAUGACGCCUAGGGGACCUGAGAGGGUGACCCCCACCGAUGGAACUGAGAUACGGUCCAUACACCUACGGGUGGCUGCAGUCGUGAAUCUUCCACAAUGGACGAAAGUCUGAUGGAGCGACGCCGCGUGCAGGAUGAAGUGCUUCGGCAUGUAAACUGCUUUUAUAGGGGAGGAAGUUUAUUGACGUUACCCUAAGAAUAAGAGGUUGCUAAACUCGUGCCAGCAGCAGCGGUAAUACGAGUGCCUCAAGCGUUAUCCGGAAUUACUGGGCGUAAAGGGUGCGUAGGUGGUCUUAUUAGUCUUGUGUUAAAUUCUUCGGCUUAACCGGGGGCAUGCACAGGAAACGGUAAGACUUGAGGAUACGAGGGGUCCGUGGAAUUCUAGGUGUAGCGGUGAAAUGCGUUGAUAUCUAGGAGAACACCAAAAGCGAAGGCAGCGGACUGGAGUACUCCUGACACUGAGGCACGAAAGCGUGGGUAGCGAAUGGGAUUAGAUACCCCAGUAGUCCACGCCCUAAACGAUGAUUGUUUGUUUUUUGGAGUAUCGACCCUUCAAGAGACGAAGCUAACGCGAUAAACAAUCCGCCUGGGUAGUACGACCGCAAGGUUAAAACUCAAAGGAAUAGACGGGGACUUGCACAAGCGGAGGAACAUGUGGUUCAAUUCGACGGUAAACGAAAAACCUUACCAGGGUUAGAAAUCUAGUUGAAGACUAGCAGAAACGUUAGUCGUCGCAAGACAAUUAGACAGGUGCUGCAUGGUCGUCGUCAGUUCGUGGCUUGAGUUGUUCCCUUCAGUGGGGUAACGAACGCAACCCUCGUUGUCUGUUAUAAGUAUCAGACGAGACUGCCCCCUUUCCGGGGGAGGAAGGUGAGGAUGACGCCAGAUCAGCAUGGCCCUUUGAUACCCUGGGCUACACACGUGUUACAGUGCCGACCACAACGGGAUGCGACGGGGAAACCCCGAGCCAACCCUCAGAAAAGUCGGCUAAGUUCGGAUAGGGGUCUGCAACUCGACACCCUUGAAGCUGGAUUCGCUAGUAAUCUCGGAUCAGCAAUGCCGAGGUGAAUACGUUCUCAAGUCUUGUACUCACCGCCCGUCAACCCAAGGGAGCUGGGAGUACCCGAAGUCUGCGUUUAUCGCGGCCUAAGGUAAGCUCAGUGACAGGGGGUAAGUCGUAACAAGGUAACC
RNAcentral lists this ribosomal RNA (1428 nucleotides) under uncultured bacterium. RNAcentral's name for it is "bacterial SSU rRNA". It matches the Rfam family "Bacterial small subunit ribosomal RNA". The record is from RNAcentral.